UAUCUCCUACGGGGGGCAGCAGUGGGGAAUAUUGCACAAUGGGCGAAAGCCUGAUGCAGCAACGCCGCGUGAACGAAGAAGGCUCUUGGGUCGUAAAGUUCUGUUCUGAGGGAAGAAGAAAGUGACGGUACCUCAGGAGAAAGCCCCGGCUAACUCCGUGCCAGCAGCCGCGGUAAUACGGAGGAUGCGAGCGUUAUCCGGAUUUAUUGGGUUUAAAGGGUGCGUAGGCGGACUGUUAAGUCAGCGGUAAAAGCCCGGGGCUCAACCCCGGCGAGCCGUUGAAACUGGCUGUCUUGAGAUGUCGG
Molecule: ribosomal RNA, 305 nt
Filed under: uncultured bacterium
Lineage: Bacteria
Description: bacterial SSU rRNA
Rfam family: Bacterial small subunit ribosomal RNA
Source: RNAcentral